This 253-nucleotide ribosomal RNA is filed under the name uncultured bacterium. RNAcentral's name for it is "partial 16S ribosomal RNA". It matches the Rfam family "Bacterial small subunit ribosomal RNA", at positions 524 to 776 of the family's 1533-position model. The record is from RNAcentral.
UACGUAGGUGACAAGCGUUGUCCGGAUUUACUGGGCGUAAAGAGCGCGCAGGCGGUCGAUCAAGUCGAGUGUGAAAGCCCCCGGCUCAACUGGGGAGGGUCAUUCGAAACUGGUCGACUCGAAGGCAGGAGAGGGUAGUGGAAUUCCAGGUGUAGCGGUGAAAUGCGUAGAUAUCGAGAGGAACACCUGCGGCGAAGGCGGGUUGCUGGGCUGACACUGACGCUGAGGCGCGAAAGCUAGGGGAGCGAACGGG